AUUGAACGCUGGCGGCAGGCCUAACACAUGCAAGUCGAGCGAGCGGCGGACGGGUGAGUAAUGUAUGGGGACUGCCCGAUAGAGGGGGAUAACUCCUGGAAACGGUAGCUAAUACCCCAUACUAUCGGAUAACCCAUAGGGGGGUAGCUAGUAGGUGGGGUAAUGGCUCACCUAGGCGACGAUCCCUAGCUGGUCUGAGAGGAUGAUCAGCCGCAGUGGGACUGAGAGACGGCCAAGACUCCUACGGAGGGAGCAGUGGGGAAUAUGGGGCAAUGGGCGCAAGCCUGAAGCAGCCAUGCCGCGUGUAUGAAGAAGGCCCUAGGGUUGUAAAGUAGUUUCAGUCGGGAGGCGUUAACGACAGAAGAAGCACCGGCUAACUCCGUGCCAGCAGCAGCGGUAAUUC
This 403-nucleotide ribosomal RNA is filed under the name uncultured bacterium. Its description in RNAcentral is "partial 16S ribosomal RNA". It matches the Rfam family "Bacterial small subunit ribosomal RNA", at positions 29 to 526 of the family's 1533-position model. The record is from RNAcentral.